RNAcentral lists this ribosomal RNA (497 nucleotides) under uncultured bacterium. RNAcentral's name for it is "partial 16S ribosomal RNA". It matches the Rfam family "Bacterial small subunit ribosomal RNA", at positions 28 to 507 of the family's 1533-position model. The record is from RNAcentral.
GAUGAACGCUGGCGGCGUGCCUAAUACAUGCAAGUCGAGCGAACAGACGAGGAGCUUGCUCCUCUGACGUUAUCGGCGGACGGGUGAGUAACACGUGGAUAACCUACCUAUAAGACUGGGAUAACUUCGGGAAACCGGAGCUAAUACCCGAUAAUAUAUUGAACCUCAUGGUUCAAUCGUGGAAUAAGGUUUUGCUUUCACUUAUAGAUUGAUCCGCCGCUCAUUAGCUAGUUGGUAAGGUAACGGCUUACCAAGGCAACGAUGCGUAGCCGACCUGAAAGGGUGGUCGGCCAGACUGGAUCUGAGACACGGUCCAGACUCCUACGGUAGGCAGCAGUAGGGAAUCUUCCGCAAGGGGCGAGAGCCUGAUGGAGCAACGCCGCGGGAGUGAUGAAGGUCUACGGAUCGUAAAACUCUGUUAUUAGGGAAGAACAAAUGUGUAAGUAACUAUGCACGUCUUGACGGUACCUAAUCAGAAAGCCACGGCUAACUACGUG